GGCAGAAUGGCCGAGUGGUCUAUGGCGACGGUCUCAAGAGCAACGCUCCUAAACUGCGAAAAGCGGUUUUCCGUUCACGAAAGUGGCCGGGGUUCGAAUCCCCGUUCUGUCA
Molecule: transfer RNA, 112 nt
Filed under: Drechmeria coniospora
Lineage: Eukaryota; Fungi; Ascomycota; Sordariomycetes; Hypocreales; Ophiocordycipitaceae
Rfam family: tRNA
About the family: Transfer RNA (tRNA) molecules are approximately 80 nucleotides in length. Their secondary structure includes four short double-helical elements and three loops (D, anti-codon, and T loops).
Source: Rfam by way of RNAcentral